RNAcentral lists this ribosomal RNA (159 nucleotides) under Hypericum x moserianum. RNAcentral describes it as "5.8S ribosomal RNA". It matches the Rfam family "5.8S ribosomal RNA". Rfam says of the family: 5.8S ribosomal RNA (5.8S rRNA) is a component of the large subunit of the eukaryotic ribosome. It is transcribed by RNA polymerase I as part of the 45S precursor that also contains 18S and 28S rRNA. Functionally, it is thought that 5.8S rRNA may be involved in ribosome translocation. The record is from RNAcentral. Lineage: Eukaryota; Viridiplantae; Streptophyta; Magnoliopsida; Malpighiales; Hypericaceae.
CUAAAACGACUCUCGGCAACGGAUAUCUAGGCUCUUGCAUCGAUGAAGAACGUAGCGAAAUGCGAUACUUGGUGUGAAUUGCAGAAUCCCGUGAACCAUCGAGUCUUUGAACGCAAGUUGGCGCCCGAAGCCUUCUGGCCGAGGGCACGUCUGCCUGGG